GAGUUUGAUCGUGGCUCAGAUUGAACGCUGGCGGCAUGCCUUACACAUGCAAGUCGAACGGCAGCAUGAUCUAGCUUGCUAGAUUGAUGGCGAGUGGCGAACGGGUGAGUAAUACAUCGGAACGUGCCCUGUAGUGGGGGAUAACUAGUCGAAAGAUUAGCUAAUACCGCAUACGACCUGAGGGUGAAAGUGGGGGACCGCAAGGCCUCAUGCUAUAGGAGCGGCCGAUGUCUGAUUAGCUAGUUGGUGGGGUAAAGGCCCACCAAGGCGACGAUCAGUAGCUGGUCUGAGAGGACGAUCAGCCACACUGGGACUGAGACACGGCCCAGACUCCUACGGGAGGCAGCAGUGGGGAAUUUUGGACAAUGGGCGAAAGCCUGAUCCAGCAAUGCCGCGUGUGUGAAGAAGGCCUCGGUG
RNAcentral lists this ribosomal RNA (417 nucleotides) under uncultured microorganism. Its description in RNAcentral is "bacterial SSU rRNA". It matches the Rfam family "Bacterial small subunit ribosomal RNA", at positions 9 to 422 of the family's 1533-position model. The record is from RNAcentral.